This 253-nucleotide ribosomal RNA is filed under the name uncultured bacterium. RNAcentral's name for it is "partial 16S ribosomal RNA". It matches the Rfam family "Bacterial small subunit ribosomal RNA", at positions 524 to 776 of the family's 1533-position model. The record is from RNAcentral.
UACAGAGGGGGCAAGCGUUAUUCGGAAUUAUUGGGCGUAAAGGGCGCGUAGGCGGCCUGGCAAGUGGAAGGUGAAAUCCCUCGGCUUAACCGAGGAACUGCCUCCCAAACUGCUUGGCUUGAGAGCAGGAGAGGUGAGUGGAAUUCCCAGUGUAGCGGUGAAAUGCGUAGAUAUUGGGAGGAACACCAGUGGCGAAGGCGGCUCACUGGACUGGUACUGACGCUGAGGCGCGAAAGCGUGGGGAGCAAACGGG